CCGAACUCCAGCCCAGCGAAAUACAGAGAAAAGAGGCCUCUGCUAGCAGGGAACUUACGUAGGCCUGUAGCUUGCUGACGUCACUGUCGUCGAUGACGUUUGAAAUGAGGGGAUUGGAACGAGUAAAGAGCCGGAAGUUUGUACCAACUCUGUCGGGAGGAUGAGGAAGUGGUACGAGAGGACGAUUGAACGGCGGGUUGUCAUGGAAACAGCCGUACUUUGGGUAGCAAAUCCCUUGACCUGUAAAGAUUUGGAAUGCCUGUGUUAUCUCAGGGACAAAUUCUAAUCUUAAAAAUGUGAUAUUGAAUGAAAACGUUUUAUACUAUAGUAAAGUUUAUUAGGCCUACUAAUGGAUGUGAUAAUAUUUAAAUGUGCUGAAUUCUCACGAUUUUGAAAAGAAGGUUUUGAGGUACAGAAAAGGAUAUUGUAAAUGUUACAAUUAAUGGAGAUUAAUUUGGCUCUCUAGAAAAUAAAUCCCCCGGGGAUUUAUUGUAAGACUGUAAGAUUGUAAGACAUGUAAGACUGUGUGGUAGAAUAGAAGCUGGGUGCCAAUAAGUCUGAAGCUAUGCUUAACCCCCUUUCACGCCAUGAAGAAUUUGCCUUCGCCUAUUAAGAAAAAAAAAAACAGUAUGUCUAAUGCUUUUGUAAUAGUUUCGGUUAAAGAAAAUGCCUGUCCGUCUGUCCAAAGAAAAUAACAAUGCCUUUCAGUCUUUCCAAACAAGCACAGUAAACACGUUUCUGGAAGACGUACGGCAGCCCGGAAGUAGAGGUUUUUUUUGUGUGUUUAACCCUAUCGCGUCGCUAGUAGGUUCCACAUGUAAGACUGUGUGGUAGAAUAGAAGCUUUUUUCUUUUAUUGAGCAAAGUUAUCGCAAAACAUAAAAAAAAAACGUUAAACUUCCGAUUGCCGUCAGUCGCGUUCAUAAACACAGAAACGUCCCUAAUGUUGGGAGGAUGAUAGAAAUUCUCAAUUUUAUAAAUGAAAGGAAAACGGCAACAUAAGACAUACCUGCCGAUGCAAGACCAAGGAAUGUUGACGUUAGAAACAAUAGCACAAGCAUCUCAGAAACAACUCUGAAAUUUAAUAUCACAUAUUCAUUAGUUAUACUUGAUUCUGGCGAAGAGAUUGAAGUAGACUACUUGUUUCCCAUUGGCUGGCUUUCCUGCAGGGCCCAGGCCUCCGGGUAUUAAGAAAUUCGUAAUUCUUCUACCAUUUCAAGAAUAAGUUAUUGAAAUAGUAGAAUAGUUGAAGUAUUUUCUACUAACAAAAUAAAAUCAAAAUCUGCA
Long non-coding RNA from Nematostella vectensis (starlet sea anemone), 1286 nucleotides. RefSeq lists it as uncharacterized. The record is from RefSeq and is a predicted model, not a curated record. The transcript has 2 exons. NCBI's taxonomy places the organism in Eukaryota, Metazoa, Cnidaria, Anthozoa, Actiniaria, Edwardsiidae.